This 578-nucleotide ribosomal RNA is filed under the name Botryosphaeria dothidea. RNAcentral's name for it is "eukaryotic LSU rRNA". The stretch from base 226 to 379 matches the Rfam family "5.8S ribosomal RNA". The record is from RNAcentral. Lineage: Eukaryota; Fungi; Ascomycota; Dothideomycetes; Botryosphaeriales; Botryosphaeriaceae.
AAGUCGUAACAAGGUUUCCGUAGGUGAACCUGCGGAAGGAUCAUUACCGAGUUGAUUCGGGCUCCGGCCCGAUCCUCCCACCCUUUGUGUACCUACCUCUGUUGCUUUGGCGGGCCGCGGUCCUCCGCGGCCGCCCCCCUCCCCGGGGGGUGGCCAGCGCCCGCCGGAGGACCAUCAAACUCCAGUCAGUAAACGAUGCAGUCUGAAAAACAUUUAAUAAACUAAAACUUUCAACAACGGAUCUCUUGGUUCUGGCAUCGAUGAAGAACGCAGCGAAAUGCGAUAAGUAAUGUGAAUUGCAGAAUUCAGUGAAUCAUCGAAUCUUUGAACGCACAUUGCGCCCUUUGGUAUUCCGAAGGGCAUGCCUGUUCGAGCGUCAUUACAACCCUCAAGCUCUGCUUGGUAUUGGGCACCGUCCUUUGCGGGCGCGCCUCAAAGACCUCGGCGGUGGCGUCUUGCCUCAAGCGUAGUAGAACAUACAUCUCGCUUCGGAGCGCAGGGCGUCGCCCGCCGGACGAACCUUCUGAACUUUUCUCAAGGUUGACCUCGGAUCAGGUAGGGAUACCCGCUGAACUUAA